GAUGAAGAACGUAGCGAAAUGCGAUAAGUAGUGUGAAUUGCAGAAUUCAGUGAAUCAUCGAAUCUUUGAACGCACAUUGCGCCCUUUGGUAUUCCUUAGGGCAUGCCUGUUCGAGCGUCAUUUAAACCUUCGAGCUCAGCUUGGUGUUGGGUGACUGUCCGCUUCACCGCGGACUCGCCUCAAAAUUAUUGGCGGCCGGUACAUUGGCUUCGAGCGCAGCAGAAACGCGAACUCGGGCCCGUCGUAUUGGCUCCCAGAAGCUAUCUUCACAAUUUUGACCUCGGAUCAGGUAGGGAUACCCGCUGAACUUAAGCAUAUCAAUAAGCGGAGGA
This 332-nucleotide unclassified non-coding RNA is filed under the name soil metagenome. RNAcentral describes it as "partial contains 5.8S ribosomal RNA, internal transcribed spacer 2, and large subunit ribosomal RNA". The stretch from base 1 to 120 matches the Rfam family "5.8S ribosomal RNA", at positions 35 to 154 of the family's 154-position model. The record is from RNAcentral.